AGGGUUCGAUUCUGGCUCAGGAUGAACGCUGGCGGCGUGCUUAACACAUGCAAGCCGAGCGAAGCACUUAUGAUGAUUCUUCGGAUGAAUCAUUUGUGACUGAGCGGCGGACGGGUGAGUAACGCGUGAGUAACCUGCCUCAUACAGGGGAAUAACAGUCAGAAAUGACUGCUAAUACCGCAUAAGACCACAGCACCGCAUGGUGCAGGGGUAAAAACUCCGGUGGUACAGGAUGGACCCGCGUCUGAUUAGCUGGUUGGUGAGGUAACGGCUCACCAAGGCGACGAUCAGUAGCCGGCUUGAGAGAGUGAACGGCCACAUUGGGACUGAGACACGGCCCAA
This 342-nucleotide ribosomal RNA is filed under the name uncultured bacterium. Its description in RNAcentral is "bacterial SSU rRNA". It matches the Rfam family "Bacterial small subunit ribosomal RNA", at positions 8 to 334 of the family's 1533-position model. The record is from RNAcentral.